RNAcentral lists this ribosomal RNA (398 nucleotides) under uncultured bacterium. Its description in RNAcentral is "bacterial SSU rRNA". It matches the Rfam family "Bacterial small subunit ribosomal RNA", at positions 360 to 773 of the family's 1533-position model. The record is from RNAcentral.
AAUUUUCCACAAUGGGGGCAACCCUGAUGGAGCAACGCCGCGUGCAGGAUGAAGGCUCUAGGGUCGUAAACUGCUUUUAUAUGUGAAGAUUAUGACGGUAGCAUAUGAAUAAGGAUCGGCUAACUCCGUGCCAGCAGCCGCGGUCAUACGGGGGAUCCAAGCGUUAUCCGGAAUUACUGGGCGUAAAGAGUUGCGUAGGCGGCUAAGUAAGUUAGUAGUGAAAGCGUGGGGCUCAACCUCAUACACAUUACUAAAACUACUUUGGCUAGAACAUGAGAGAGGUGGCUGGAAUUCCCUGUGUAGGAGUGAAAUCCGUAGAUAUAGGGAGGAACACCGAUGGCGUAGGCAGGCCACUGGCUCAUUGUUGACGCUCAGGCACGAAAGCGUGGGGAGCGACC